AACUGAUACUACCUGCGGGAACCUGCGGAAGGAUCAUUAUCGAGUUUACAACUCCCAAACCAUUGUGAAUCUUACCUUUUCGUUGCUUCGGCGGGAUCGCCCCGGGCGCUUCGGUGCCCCGGAUUCAGGCGCCCGCCGGGGGACCUAAACUCUUGUAUUAUAGUGGAUUUCUGAGUGGAUUACACAAAUAAUCAAAACUUUUAGCAAUGGAUCUCU
Molecule: unclassified non-coding RNA, 216 nt
Filed under: soil metagenome
Description: partial contains 5.8S ribosomal RNA, internal transcribed spacer 2, and large subunit ribosomal RNA
Source: RNAcentral